AUACGUAGGGGGCGAGCGUUAUCCGGAUUCAUUGGGCGUAAAGCGCGCGUAGGCGGCCCGUUUGGUCGGGAGUUAAAUCCGGGGGCUCAACCCCCGCCCGCUCCCGAUACCGGCGGGCUUGAGGCUGGGAGGGGGAGGCGGAAUUCCCAGUGUAGCGGGGGAAUGCGCAGAUAUUUGGAAGACCACCGGUGGCGAAGGCGGCCUUCUGGGCCACGACUGACGCUAGGGCGCAAAAGCUAGGGGAGCGAACAGGAUUAGAUGCCCUGGUAGUCCUAGCCGUAAACGAUGGACACUAGGUGUGGGGGGAUGUGCCCUCCGUGCCGCAGCUAACGCAUUAAGUGUCCCGCCUGGGGAGUACGGCCGCAAGGCUAAAACUCAAAGGAAUUGACGGGG
RNAcentral lists this ribosomal RNA (393 nucleotides) under uncultured bacterium. RNAcentral describes it as "partial 16S ribosomal RNA". It matches the Rfam family "Bacterial small subunit ribosomal RNA", at positions 523 to 918 of the family's 1533-position model. The record is from RNAcentral.